This 252-nucleotide ribosomal RNA is filed under the name uncultured bacterium. RNAcentral describes it as "partial 16S ribosomal RNA". It matches the Rfam family "Bacterial small subunit ribosomal RNA", at positions 524 to 775 of the family's 1533-position model. The record is from RNAcentral.
UACGGAGGGUGCAAGCGUUAUCCGGAUUCACUGGGUUUAAAGGGUGCGUAGGUGGGCAGGUAAGUCAGUGGUGAAAUCUCCGAGCUUAACUCGGAAACUGCCAUUGAUACUAUCUGUCUUGAAUAUCCUGGAGGUGAGCGGAAUAUGUCAUGUAGCGGUGAAAUGCUUAGAUAUGACAUAGAACACCAAUUGCGAAGGCAGCUCACUACGGGAUUAUUGACACUGAGGCACGAAAGCGUGGGGAUCAAACAG